This 253-nucleotide ribosomal RNA is filed under the name uncultured bacterium. RNAcentral's name for it is "partial 16S ribosomal RNA". It matches the Rfam family "Bacterial small subunit ribosomal RNA", at positions 524 to 776 of the family's 1533-position model. The record is from RNAcentral.
UACGUAGGGUGCGAGCGUUGUUCGGAUUUACUGGGCGUAAAGGGUGCGUAGGCGGUGGGGUAAGUUUGAGGUGAAAGCUCCGGGCUCAACCCGGAAAAUGCCUUGAAAACUAUCCGGCUAGAGGGUUGGAGGGGAGACUGGAAUUCUCGGUGUAGCAGUGAAAUGCGUAGAUCUCGAGAGGAACACCAGUGGCGAAGGCGGGUCUCUGGACAACACCUGACGCUGAGGCACGAAAGCCAGGGGAGCAAACGGG